GACUGGGGGAGCCGGGGGGCGUUUAGGGGCGCGUUGUGUUGGGCAGCGGGGGCCGGGUAAGCCCGUUAUCUGCCGGGUGACCCCGGGGGGAGCCGUGGCAGGGCUGCGGGGCUGGUGCUCUCUGGGUGUCUCAAGUUUUGCUUUGAAAUUCUAAACCCUUUCCCUGUGCAGGGUUGCGAGGCAAAGACUGCUUUAACUGGGUUUUUUUUGGUGCUGCAUUAAUGCUUUUUGCUCGUUCUGUGUCAAUUUGCAGCCUGGCUCGUGGUUUCUCCUGGUGCUGGUGGAGUGGAGGUGAGUUGUGCUUCCUGCUGGGAGAGAGAAGGGCCUGGGGAAGCUGCUCCAUGAACCACAGCUGUGCCGAGCCUGGGAGAUUGUCCAGCAGGAUGUCGAGUGCCACCGUGUCCCUGAGGUCACCCUUUCUGCUGUUGGGAGAGCACGAGGUGGAUGGAGAGGAUCCCCAGGCAUCUGCAGGCACAAGGGACUCGUACAACUGUGAUUUUCCUACAGCCCUCAUAAGGUGGACUUUGAGGGUACCAUGGGUAAUGUGCCAGCUCUCCUGCUGGAGUUUUUGUUUUCUGCUGUAUUUGAAUAUAAAGAGUAAAACUAAAGUCAGGUCUGUUCUGGAGUAUGUUA
Molecule: long non-coding RNA, 633 nt
Organism: Neopelma chrysocephalum (saffron-crested tyrant-manakin)
Lineage: Eukaryota; Metazoa; Chordata; Aves; Passeriformes; Pipridae
Exons: 2
Source: RefSeq, a predicted model, not a curated record